AGUGCAAAUGUGGUUGUGGAUGGGAGCACGGUCAAUUUAGGUUUAUGGGAUACAGCUGGUCAGGAGGAUUACAAUAGAUUGAGACCUUUGAGCUAUCGAGGGGCAGAUGUCUUUAUUCUUGCAUUCUCUUUAAUCAGCAAGGCCAGCUAUGAAAAUGUUGCCAAAAAGUGGAUUCCAGAACUGAGGCAUUAUGCACCUGGAGUUCCUGUCAUUCUUGUUGGAACAAAACUUGAUCUUCGCGAGGAUAAGCAGUUCUUCAUUGACCAUCCGGGUGCAGUGCCUAUCACUACUGCCCAAGGAGAGGAACUGAGAAAACUUAUUGGAGCUCCUGCCUAUAUAGAGUGUAGCUCAAAAACACAGCAGAAUGUGAAGGCGGUUUUUGAUGCAGCAAUCAAGGUGGUUCUGCAGCCCCCCAAGCAAAAGAGAAAGAAGAAAAAGGGACAAAAGGCUUGCUCUAUAUUGUGAUGAUGUGGGAAUGAGCAUGCUUUGACAGAAAGAAGUUGGCUUUUCGAUUCAUCACUGUUUUACCCUUUAAUUUUCAUGCCCCUGCAAGGAAGCAG
Molecule: unclassified non-coding RNA, 560 nt
Filed under: Hevea brasiliensis (rubber tree)
Lineage: Eukaryota; Viridiplantae; Streptophyta; Magnoliopsida; Malpighiales; Euphorbiaceae
Source: RNAcentral